RNAcentral lists this ribosomal RNA (912 nucleotides) under uncultured bacterium. Its description in RNAcentral is "bacterial SSU rRNA". It matches the Rfam family "Bacterial small subunit ribosomal RNA", at positions 8 to 933 of the family's 1533-position model. The record is from RNAcentral.
AGAGUUUGAUCAUGGCUCAGGACGAACGCUGGCGGCGUGCUUAACACAUGCAAGUCGAACGGUAGGGCCCUUUCGGGGGUACACGAGUGGCGAACGGGUGAGUAACACGUGGGUGAUCUGCCCUGCACUUUGGGAUAAGCCUGGGAAACUGGGUCUAAUACCGGAUAGGACCGCGUUCUGCAUGGGAUGUGGUGGAAAGCUUUUGCGGUGUGGGAUGGGCCCGCGGCCUAUCAGCUUGUUGGUGGGGUGAUGGCCUACCAAGGCGACGACGGGUAGCCGGCCUGAGAGGGUGUCCGGCCACACUGGGACUGAGAUACGGCCCAGACUCCUACGGGAGGCAGCAGUGGGGAAUAUUGCACAAUGGGCGCAAGCCUGAUGCAGCGACGCCGCGUGAGGGAUGACGGCCUUCGGGUUGUAAACCUCUUUCAGUAGGGACGAAGCGUAAGUGACGGUACCUACAGAAGAAGCACCGGCCAACUACGUGCCAGCAGCCGCGGUAAUACGUAGGGUGCGAGCGUUGUCCGGAAUUACUGGGCGUAAAGAGCUCGUAGGUGGUUUGUCGCGUUGUUCGUGAAAACUCACAACUCAAUUGUGGGCGUGCGGGCGAUACGGGCAGACUGGAGUACUGCAGGGGAGACUGGAAUUCCUGGUGUAGCGGUGGAAUGCGCAGAUAUCAGGAGGAACACCGGUGGCGAAGGCGGGUCUCUGGGCAGUAACUGACGCUGAGGAGCGAAAGCGUGGGGAGCGAACAGGAUUAAAUACCCUGGUAGUCCACGCCGUAAACGGUGGGUACUAGGUGUGGGUUUCCUUCCUUGGGAUCCGUGCCGUAGCUAACGCAUUAAGUACCCCGCCUGGGGAGUACGGCCGCAAGGCUAAAACUCAAAGGAAUUGACGGGGGCCCGCACAAGCGGC